Molecule: ribosomal RNA, 460 nt
Filed under: uncultured soil bacterium
Lineage: Bacteria
Description: bacterial SSU rRNA
Rfam family: Bacterial small subunit ribosomal RNA
Source: RNAcentral
AGAACGAACGCUGGCGGCAUGCCUAAUACAUGCAAGUCGAACGAACUCUUCGGAGUUAGUGGCGCACGGGUGCGUAACGCGUGGGAAUCUGCCCCUUGGUUCGGAAUAACAGUUGGAAACGACUGCUAAUACCGGAUGAUGACGAAAGUCCAAAGAUUUAUCGCCAAGGGAUGAGCCCGCGUAGGAUUAGCUAGUUGGUGAGGUAAAGGCUCACAAGGCAACGAUCCUUAGCUGGUCUGAGAGGAUGAUCAGCCACACUGGGACUGAGACACGGCCAGACUCCUACGGGAGGCAGCAGUAGGGAAUAUUGGACAAUGGGACGAAAGCCUGAUCCAGCAAAUGCCGCGGUGAGGUGAGUAGAAGGCCGUUAAGGGUUGUUAAAAGCUUCCUUUUAACCCGAGAAUGAAUAAUGACAGUAGUCGGGAAGAAAUAACGACCCCGGCCUAAACCGCCCGUCGCC